AGAGUUUGAUCAUGGCUCAGAUUGAACGCUGGCGGCAGGCCUAACACAUGCAAGUCGAGCGGAUGAAGGGAGCUUGCUCCCUGAUUUAGCGGCGGACGGGUGAGUAAUGCCUAGGAAUCUGCCUGGUAGUGGGGGAUAACGUUCCGAAAGGAACGCUAAUACCGCAUACGUCCUACGGGAGAAAGCAGGGGACCUUCGGGCCUUGCGCUAUCAGAUGAGCCUAGGUCGGAUUAGCUAGUUGGUGAGGUAAUGGCUCACCAAGGCGACGAUCCGUAACUGGUCUGAGAGGAUGAUCAGUCACACUGGAACUGAGACACGGUCCAGACUCCUACGGGAGGCAGCAGUGGGGAAUAUUGGACAAUGGGCGAAAGCCUGAUCCAGCCAUGCCGCGUGUGUGAAGAAGGUCUUCGGAUUGUAAAGCACUUUAAGUUGGGAGGAAGGGCAGUAAGCUAAUACCUUGCUGUUUUGACGUUACCGACAGAAUAAGCACCGGCUAACUUCGUGCCAGCCGCCGCGGUAAUUC
Molecule: ribosomal RNA, 523 nt
Filed under: uncultured bacterium
Lineage: Bacteria
Description: bacterial SSU rRNA
Rfam family: Bacterial small subunit ribosomal RNA
Source: RNAcentral